CGGUAGCGUUUUGAAUAUUGGUUUAUUAGCUAAAUUAGACGUGAAAUAUAAAAAAUCCAAAGAAAUCCAAAAUUAGACAUCGGAUCGAGUCCAAAUUUUACAAACAUGUUGGUGUUAACGUUAAUGUCGUUCGAUAAAAAAUUCGGAAAAUUUCGCCAUUAGGGGGCGCAAUAAACGAGGAAAUUGUAUAUCUUCUACACAAUUUCGCCGCGAAAACGCCACACUGACUUCUCGCUACUCCUACCACAGUCAAAUCCUUUGUAUCCACAGGUUCAGGGUAGCGUUUUGAACACAUGCUUCGCGGUUGUGCCGGCGAAAUGCACAUUUCUUGUCGCGUUGUGCCGGCGAAAUACACACUUCUUGGACCCCUGCAUAAUUAGGGGUCCAAGCCAACAGGUUGGAUCCCUAUUGUUUUUACUACCUCCCCGUGAAAGUGGAACCACAGCCCAAACCGUAAAUGGUGCCGACAUGCCAAUUGCAUGACUAGAUCCAGGUCCGGCACCGCUACUCAGAUAACAAAAUCCAGACACGCCGGCCACUAGGUGGCGCUAUACCAAGGAAAGACGCGUUUGGGGCUAUAACUCCCACACCGAACCUCCCACAUUCAAAACCUUGUACACACAUAUUCACUGGAGUCUGCUGCAUCUUUUGGCAUAGGCCACGCCCAUUUGCGUCCACAAUUUCUUUUCGCAAAAUCGCGAAAACCGCAAAACUGUAUUUUCGCUACUCCUCCCACAUUUCUUGACCAAUCGACACCAAACUUUGCACGCGGCAUCUUCAGACACACACGCAUAGAAUUGAUAGACACUUUUUUGAUCGGAACUUCGACGACGAAACGGUAGCGUUUUGAAUAUUGGUUUAUGAGCUAAAUUAGACGUGGAAAAUCAAAAAUCCAAAGAAAUCCAAAAUUAGACAUCGGAACGAGUCCAAAUUGUACACACAUGUUGGUGCUAACCUUAAUGUCGUACAACAAAAAUUUCGGAAAAUUUCGCCAUUAGGGGGCGCAAUAAACGAGGAAAUUGUAUAUCUUCUACAAAAUUUCGCCGCGAAAACGCUACACUGACCUCUCGCU
Molecule: long non-coding RNA, 1072 nt
Filed under: Gadus morhua (Atlantic cod)
Lineage: Eukaryota; Metazoa; Chordata; Actinopteri; Gadiformes; Gadidae
Description: lncRNA (ENSGMOG00000029363.1)
Source: RNAcentral